AUUGAACGCUGGCGGCAUGCUUUACACAUGCAAGUCGAACGGCAGCGCGGGCUUCGGCCUGGCGGCGAGUGGCGAACGGGUGAGUAAUACAUCGGAACGUGCCCAGUAGUGGGGGAUAGCUCGGCGAAAGCCGGAUUAAUACCGCAUACGACCUGAGGGUGAAAGCGGGGGAUCUUCGGACCUCGCGCUCUUGGAGCGGCCGAUGGCAGAUUAGCUAGUUGGUUGGGUAAAUGCCUACCAAGGCGACGAUCUGUAGCUGGUCUGUGAGGACGACCAGCCACAUUGGAACUGAGCCACGGCCCAGACUCCUACGGGAGGCAGCAGUGGGGAAUUUUGGACAAAGGGCGAAAGCCUGAUCCAGCAAUGCCGCGUGUGUGAUGAAGGCCUUCGGGUCGUAAAGCACUUUUGGCGGGAACGAAAAGGACUGUGCCAAUACCACGGUUCGAUGACGGUACCCGCAGAAUAAGCACCGGCUAACUACGUG
This 484-nucleotide ribosomal RNA is filed under the name uncultured bacterium. Its description in RNAcentral is "partial 16S ribosomal RNA". It matches the Rfam family "Bacterial small subunit ribosomal RNA", at positions 30 to 507 of the family's 1533-position model. The record is from RNAcentral.